Betta splendens (Siamese fighting fish) is the source of this 4456-nucleotide long non-coding RNA. RefSeq lists it as uncharacterized. The record is from RefSeq and is a predicted model, not a curated record. The transcript has 4 exons. Lineage: Eukaryota; Metazoa; Chordata; Actinopteri; Anabantiformes; Osphronemidae.
CCGCCGUUUGCUAACUUUGUCUCAACUUACCAAAACAGAGCUUUGUCCCUCGUCACGGGAAGAUUUAUGGAGCUAUCUUGCGGAUGAGGAGGCUCGCGCACGUCUCGGUAAGGUCCCCUGGCUGUCCGCUUUGACGACGGCACAAAAUGGUGAAUGAACCACUAACAGCUGGGCGAGUUGACCAAUCACAGGUCGCUGACAGCAACAGAAUCUCACUUUCACCGCUUUCAGCCAAUCGAGACACGGCAUCCUUCUCUCUCUGACGUCGGCCAUCUCUCCGCCCCGCCCACCGCAAUGAAAGUGAACGGGGCCACUCUUGCUGACGUCACCUCGCCGACACUCUAUUGGAUAGGCAGUGGUGGAGACGAGCCGGUGUGCUGAUCAGUGAGUGGAAGAUGUUUCACAUGAUUGCACGAGCGUGAGACGGACAUCCGCACGUGUAAUCACUCUGAUUUGUGCCAUCUGUAUAUUUACUUUCGAUGUAUGUGUCGAAGACGAGAAACCGCAUCUACCCUGCGAAAGAUAGUGUCGUAAUAGUAAAUAUUACAUAAUCCCCAGCUCUGUGUAGUAGAAAAGCAGACUCCUGCUGAGACUGACAGCCAUGCGGGAUCCCGCAGGAGGAGCGCCCCCUGUCAGUGUGAGCUGAUGCCUGCAUGCUGAUCCCAGUCAAGCUCAGUGAUGGAAGAGGUGACACGUGUAGGCCUAAAAUCCGAAGAAAGCUCUGACCGGCUGAAAGCAGCAGUGUUCUUUUGUAAAAGUACGUUUAAUACUUGCAUGUGUUCCUGCACGUGCGUGUAGGAGACAGCGAGAGAGAGAGAAAGAGAGGGAGAGAGAGAGAAGCAGAUCGACCUCAGACUGAACGUUGAAUUCCUAAAUGUUGAUACACAGCGACAUCUUGUGGGGACAUUUUAGCUCUGCAGUUCAGAACGUCUCAAUAGUUUUAGUUGGACUCCAUAUUGUCUGUUAGUAAAGAUGGAUUGAGCUAAGGUAAAAGUUUAGACAGGCAUAGAUAUUUAGACAAUUGUUCAUAUCAGUAAGCUCUACUGGGACAAGCAGUUUAAGUACCACUGAUUUUAUUCUUUUUCAAAGAAGCGGCAAAAGUUAAAGCAAAAAGCCCUAAAUCCUCUGGUACAAACAUACUCACUGAAUAAUUACUAAUAAAAUGAUGAAACUAAAAUAAAAAUAAAAAAGUCAUUAAAAGAAUAUUAGCUAAUAUCUAAUAAGUAGAUUUUGAUCCCUAUUUAACAUGAUACUGCACAACACACUUGAUCAAACACUGAUCAAAUUAGGUAAGUCUAAAUUAUACAUUAAUUAUCUUGUUUCAGGACACUUUAAAUCUACAAAAUAAACCUGAAGGAAACAAAUUGCAAAUGUCAUAAACAUAUCAUCUAUAGCACAUGAUGCCACCAGCAACUCAAUGUUGAGUUGAGUUAUUUCAGGUAUAAUGGGUUGAAGAGGCUGCUCCUGUUUUUCUGAUACACCCCACUAAUGUCUCAUUGGAUCAUUUCCACUUCGCCUUCUUGUGUGCAACAGCUCCACUCGUCCCAUCACACUCUGUCAGCCCAGCUCCGCUCUCAUUCCCACAAUGGGAUCCUGACCUCUGAACUGCACCCCUCACCCUCUCUCUGUGUGCUCAUCACAGGUCUGUCAGUCAAACACCAGAGACCCGGCCCUCCUGCUGGGCUCUGCUGUCAGGUACAGACAGCUCUGGAGGAAAACAGAGACAGGGAAGUGGAAGAGGAAACACCGUAGGUUUUGACAAAAAUGAAGAAGACGGACAGAACCGAGCAACACAGGUCUUGCUUGGUAAAUAUUUCGUUGGUCAGAGUGUUUCACUGGUGAUCUAUCUAUCUGUGGCAUAACCACAAACCAGCCCCAGCCUCACACAAAGCCAGACCCAUCGUCAGGAAUGUGCCUCACCUCUCGGUCUCUUAAAGCCCACGCUCACAGCAGCAUCUGACCUCUGAUCCUCUCCUCGACCUCGCGCCAGAGCAAGAAACCAGGCCCCAUCAAACCCAAGACAAAUGGGCAGAAUAAAAAAUGUCUGGCAGUCUUGAAGACAGUGGUCAAACAAAGCAAAGACACAUCACCUGACGAUGAUGUGACACUCUAUGGACGUAUCAGCCUUUGACAAACUCAAAUAUCCUAACAAAUGUCUUCAUUUUACUUUUUUAUUUGUGAACACUUAUGCUUCAGUGAAUUCUUUCAGUGAGGUUUAAAUGCACCUUUAUGUAAAACCUUCCACAGGUUACGGGGGACUGAGGCAGAGUCUAUAAAAGACAACUUACAUAAGGGACUGAACUGUUCAGGCACAUUUGUUUUGUUAGUGUUUUUUCCAUGAACCUGCGCUAUCGAACCUUGAACAUAGAGUGCGAUGAAACGAAUGGAAGAUGUCUAUAUUUCUGCUUCUGUAGCCUACAAGGCGAGACACAAUGGGUGGGGGUCUAAUAAUGUGCCUAAUAAAGUAUGAUACAUGCUGUAAUCAGACUGUGCAAGGUUAGGGAUUGAGGGGAGCUCACAAUAGCCCGGAUGAGUACUAAAGAAGGACGAUCACCUAAAAAGACAUCUAAGCAGAAAUAGAAGCUGAGCCAGAACGGCCUCCGUGCACUGAUGUGCACUGAUUUACUGUAAACAAAUGGCCAAAGCGAGCACAGGCAGCGUCUAACGGUCCCAUCAAACCCUGCGAGCUGCCGUGCGGAGAACAGUGGGCCCUUGUGCCCUCUGCAUUCUUGUCCCGAGUAACUUUACACCGCUCAGCUGUUCCUCGGGGGCCGCGUCACGUCCAGAAGCGGAGGGCAGGAUCGGGGACACGCAUGUUCCUGAACGCGUCAGAGACACCGUGAAGAACGAGAGGCUCACAAGCUUUUCCCAAUGAAGACUCUCCAUCUCCCCUGGACUUCAGGAUGCUAUAGCUUCAUUCCUGCCCAUUUAAAUGGACCGCACGAGUGUAUAAUAAAGUUUCACACAGCUCAUAUAUUGUAAGUAAAGUGUUGCGUACUGCUAAUUCAGACGGCUGUACAUGAAGGAUUAGUUUACUAAAGGAGACCAUUCCACUCAGCCUUUACGACUUUGCAUUUAGUCUUUAAAUAAUUGAUGCAAAAGUCAGACCUCACUUAAAACAAACCGUGUUGGAGGUGGAAGACGUGAGAAAGAUUAGUUGUUAUUGCUCAGUCAGGUUCAAACAUAAUGGGAAAAUGUGAUUUAUAUGUAGCUAAGUAAAGAGUUUAGAGCCGAGUAAAAAUCAGUUCACGUCUAAUCGACCAGGAUAUAAUGCAGUACAGUGAUCCACCAACAGGGGGAGACAUUUGAUGCCAAAUGACAGCAGACGCAGCUGCUUGGACCCACACGGUUGUUUUUGUGCCUAAAACUUCUUCAUGUGCGUCUUUUUCUACAGAGCGAGCGAUGGUCCGGUACCUAGCAGCAACGAAGUCACGAGGAUAGUUCAGGGUCAAAUCGGUUGAACGGCAAGAUUGGCGGGAAGAAGGUGAAAAAGGAAAUACCAGUAUCAGAGUUUCAAACAAACCACAUCAAUGUGUGCGCGCGCUCGUCUGCGCUCAGCGUGACAAAGUGCCGUCGCUGUGAAAACGCCGAGCCUCUGUGCGGUGCAGCGUUUCUCCGUACGGCGGAGGAUGUGGUGGGCUUACUAGCAGGCCUCCUGUGUUUCACCGUACCGUAAGCCAGUCACAGAGGAUGCAACGGGCCCGUGUGAAUCCACGGCGGCUCCGUGCUGUGCAGUGUGUGCACAAUGCACCGGCUGCGGUGAAAAGUGGAGAACAGAGCAGGUUUCUGCGAAAGCAGGCGCUGAGAGGAAGCGAGAGGAGAGGGAUGUGGCUCAGGUGAGAGAGUAGAGUGGUUCCUGUGGUCUCUUUCUCUUUCUCUCUCUCCCCAGCUGUGAAUGGAGCAGACUGGAUCGUCAACAGGAAUCUCUCUCUCUUCAUACAGUUCAGUCCGCCAUUGUUACCCUGUGUAUUCAUUGUUAGCAUCUUCUCAAUAGUUACUACUCAGCUGUAUGUGUUAAUCUGUUAAUCAGUUGAAAAGUAUGAGGCAAUGGAUUCAGUUCACAUGAACACAUUUAAAAAUGUACAUUUAGGGAAAAAGCUCAUUAUCGCUGUCAGAUAGUCAGACUGAGGAAAUGACUGAAGUUCUCUUAUCUGCUCUGUAAAAAGGAAGUUAAAGCCAGAGGCCGAUUACCUUUGCUCAAAAUCAAGCCUCCAGAGUCUGUCUACACCAUUAAUAAGCAAGAAGUGUGUGGUCAUAAAAGUGAAAUAUAGUUGUUGUUGGACAGAUUAUAUUUUCUUUAAAGUAAAUUCACAUUGUAUUAUGAGCCAACACUACUCCUUGAUUGUGAGCUGGUGUAGUCAACCAGACAAAAAGUCAACAGUUAAUCUUUUUGUUUACAAUUAACUGAGUAAUAAAACUGUCUGAUUAUGCAUGAUUAAUAAAUAUUGAUGUGUGA